CUCUCUGUAAACUUCCCUAUGAAUAUUGAUAUCAAAGAGCACAUAUUCUUGAAUCACGGCCAAAAUGUAGUCGAUGUAUUUAUACUGCAAGGUUAAAAUCGACAUAAACAAUUCAGCAAUCGGAACACUAGCAUUCGCUGUACAAAUUCUCUGGAAUUUUCAUUAAUCUAACGCGGAAUAAAGAAAAACAGUACUCUGAGAAAUGGACAAGAAAGUCCUCGCGAUCUGUCUUAUCCUGAUGGUGAUCUGUUCGAUCCAGUUGUCGGUCGACAGUCAGCGUCUUUGCCGGCAGUUACGUAAUGGACAGUGCGUCGACAGUCCUUGGAGGAAAGCAAAAAAGAGGCCUCUGUGUGCCGAAAUCAGACAUAACCAUGCGUGCAGGGCUGUUCCCGGUCACUGCAUGUGCUUGCCGACGACGUCGGGAUCAGUGCUCGCGUCACGGGGCGAGGAAAACCAGCUGGAGCAAGACCAAGCUAUUGAGAGCUAAAAAGUUUCAUUAUACGUUUUGAAAGGGUCUGGCUCUCAGUUUCAUGAGUCACUCCAGAAAGCUCGGCUAUUUAAAGAAUCAAUACAUGGCGAUUGCCGAGAAGUUAGGAUUGUUCCUGUGUAUGUAUGCACAUGCAAUUUAUCGAACAUAUAUUCAAAAGAUAUAUCUCAAAGUUUUCCAAAAGACAUCUACAAGUUAUCCAAAUGAUAUUUUUCAAAGUUGUCCAAAAUAUAUCAAUAAAGUUAUCCAAAAGAUGUCUGCCAAAGUUAUCCAAAACACAUCUCCAAGUUAUCCAAAAAAUAUCUCGCAAAGUUAUCCAAAAGAUAUCUCGCAAAGUUAUCCAAAGGAUAUCUCGCAAAGUUAUCCAAAAGACAUCUCCAAGUUAUCCAAAAGAUAUCUCGCAAAGUUCUCCAAAAUAUAUCAUUAUAUUAUUCAAAAUGGACAUUUCGUUGAUCAAUAAAUGAACAGAAAAUGUUGAAAAUAUUGGCCGAAGUAUACGUGUUUCACCACUGCGAAUGUACCAUAUUUAGACCUUCGAGAAAGUAAAAUCAUUUUCGGUAAUACAUUUGCACUUAAGAUACAAUUAAUACACUAAAAUGAACCAGUCGUUGACAUUUUUUUCUUCUUUCUAUGCACUUAACAGUUGUUUUGUAUAUUUACGUACGUUUUCUGGAUGUUUUAAACAUUGUGCUUUGCUGUUUAUGUUUUGGAGUAUCAUGUUGGUCUUAAAGCUGUAUUUUUGUUUGAUUUUUAUUAAAGUGAGAAAAAAAUA
Molecule: long non-coding RNA, 1259 nt
Organism: Mya arenaria
Lineage: Eukaryota; Metazoa; Mollusca; Bivalvia; Myida; Myidae
Exons: 2
Source: RefSeq, a predicted model, not a curated record